RNAcentral lists this transfer RNA (73 nucleotides) under Rattus norvegicus (Norway rat). It matches the Rfam family "tRNA". From Rfam's summary of the family: Transfer RNA (tRNA) molecules are approximately 80 nucleotides in length. Their secondary structure includes four short double-helical elements and three loops (D, anti-codon, and T loops). Lineage: Eukaryota; Metazoa; Chordata; Mammalia; Rodentia; Muridae. The record is from Rfam by way of RNAcentral.
AGGGGUGUGGCUCGGUUGGUAGAGCACUUGCCUAACACGCAUGGAGCCCUGGGUUCUAUCCCUGGCACUACAU